UUAAGUUCAGCGGGUCUUCCUACCUGAUCCGAGGUCAACCUUUGGGUACCUUCGAGAAGGUGGGUUUCACGGCCGGAACCCGCCGCACGCCCUGAGCGAGACAAAGAUAUGCUACUACGCUCGGUGUGGACAGCGAGCCCGCCACUGGUUUUCAGGGCCUGCGGGUGUGCCACAGGUCCCCAACACAAGCCGGGGGCUUG
Molecule: unclassified non-coding RNA, 200 nt
Filed under: Sordariomycetes sp.
Lineage: Eukaryota; Fungi; Ascomycota; Sordariomycetes
Description: partial internal transcribed spacer 2
Source: RNAcentral